CUUGGCGGCCAUAGCGCAGCGGACCCACCUGAUCCCAUGCCGAACUCAGAAGUGAAACGUUGUAGCGCCGAUGGUAGUGUGGGGUCUCCCCAUGUGAGAGUAGGGAACUGCCAGGC
This 116-nucleotide ribosomal RNA is filed under the name Proteus penneri. Lineage: Bacteria; Pseudomonadati; Pseudomonadota; Gammaproteobacteria; Enterobacterales; Morganellaceae. RNAcentral also lists the same sequence under 3 other names. The record is from RNAcentral.